CGCCCCGCAAGGGGAAGUGGCAGACGGGUGAGUAACGCGUGGCAACAUACCCUUUCCUGCGGAAUACCUCCGGGAAACUGGAAUUAAUACCGCAAACCCCCUACGGGGGAAAGAUUUAUCGGGGAAGGAUUGGCCCGCGUUGGAUUACCUAGUUGGGGGGGUAAAGGCCUACCAAGGCGACAAUCCAUAGCUGGUCUGAGAGGAUGAUCACCCACAUUGGGACUGAAACACGGCCCAAACUCCUACGGGAGGCAGCGGGGGGGAAUAUUGAACAAUGGGCGCAAGCCUGAUCCAGCCAUGCCGCGUGAGUGAUGAAGGCCUUAGGGUUGUAAAGCUCUUUCACCGAUGAAAAUAAUGACGGUAGUCGAAAAAAAACCCCCGGCUAACUUCGUGCCAGCAGCCGCGGUAAUACGAGGGGGGCUAGCGUUGUUCGAAAUUACGGGGCGUAAGGCCCACGUAGGCGGAUAUUUAAGUCAGGGGUGAAACCCCGCACCUCAACUGCGAAACUGCCUUUAAUACGGGGUAUCUGGAUUAGGAAAAAGUUAAGUGAUAUUCCAGGUGGAAGGGGUAAACUUCGAAAAUAUUCGAAGGAACACCAGUGGCCAAAGGCGGUUUAUGGUUCCUUUACUGACAAUAAGGUGCCAAAGCGGGGGGGAACAAACAGGAUUAAAUACCCCUGGUUUUCCCCCCCCGAAAACGAUGAAUGGUUAGCCCGUCGGGGAUAUAUUGUUCCGGUGGCCCCACUAACGUUUUAAAAAAUUCCCCCCGGAGAAUACGGUCCCCAUAAUAAA
This 791-nucleotide ribosomal RNA is filed under the name Rhizobium sp. RNAcentral describes it as "partial 16S ribosomal RNA". It matches the Rfam family "Bacterial small subunit ribosomal RNA", at positions 67 to 898 of the family's 1533-position model. The record is from RNAcentral. Lineage: Bacteria; Pseudomonadati; Pseudomonadota; Alphaproteobacteria; Hyphomicrobiales; Rhizobiaceae.